GUUCCCAUUCCGAACACGGAAGUUAAGCUGUGCUGUGCCGACAAUACUUGGCUGGAGACGGCCCGGGAAGAUAGGUCGACGCCAACU
Molecule: ribosomal RNA, 87 nt
Filed under: Clostridiales bacterium
Lineage: Bacteria; Bacillati; Bacillota; Clostridia; Eubacteriales
Source: RNAcentral